AUGGAUGAGAUAGGCAAGAGAAAAUAUGUAAAGAGAUGUUUUUUUUUAUUUUUUGUGUUAUUUCAUGAUUUUUUAUAUUUUGAAAUUAUAAAAUUAUGUAUAUUAUAUUUUAUGUGUAAUUAUAAUGAACAUAGACAGAACAGUUUUUUAUUAAUAGACGAUUCCAUAAAAUGUUCUGUAGCUAAAAAAAGAUAUUAUUUACAAAUAGUUUUUAUAGUACUAUUUAACACAAGUAUUAAAUUUUUAAACUAUUUUAUUUGUUUAUUUAAAAAAUGUAUAAAUAUAAAAAGUCCGAUAAUAAAUGAAAUACUAUUAUUAUACUCAAAUAUAUAUGAAUUAAAUAAAAUCGAUGAUUUUUUGUUGUUAUUAUUUUUAUUUUUAUUUUAUAAACGUUUUUUUAGUAAUCAUAAUCCUUACCUUUAUUUUAAUUAUAAUAAUGCUAUGUACAAUCAGAAUAUACAUAUAUCUCAAUAUGCAGUUAUUAUACUUAUAUUUUUGGUUUAUAUUUUUAUUAUGUAUUUGUAUGUGUAUAAAUGGAACAGCGUUGAUGAAAUAAAAACAGAAUCCAAUAUGAAGGAAACUAAUUUAAGUUUAAACAAAAAAAAAGUUGAUAAAAGAAUUGAUAAAAAAACUGGUAAAAUGUGUACGAUUAGUGAUAAAAGUAUUCAUAUGUUUGCCUCAAACACGUUCGUUAAUUCGGAGAACGAUUUAGAUAAAAACAUAAAUAAUAAAAACAAAAAAGUAAUUAUUCAAGAAUCACCUAAGCAUUUCAACACAUUAACAAUAAAUUUACCCGACGAAUCAGGAAUAGAUGACGAAUUUUUUUCUAAUUAUGAACAAGAAAAAUCGAGUAGUAAAAAUCGAAAUGAUGAUAAAAUUGUUAACAAAAUAGAUAACAAAAAAAAAAAGGGUACCAAACAAGACAACAAGGCUUGCAAUAAAAAAACAAUUUCUUAUGGUAAAAGAAGAACUCGUGUAAAAAACAAGAAGAUUUAUUUUUUAUAUGACAAGGUUAAAAAAGUUAUAAAAAAAAUAAUAAAAAAAAGACAUAUAGAUAAGUUAUUAUAUUUAUAUUCUAUGUUUGUAUAUAUUACUAUUUUAUUAUAUUAUUUUACAUUUUUUUGUUAUGUUCAUUUGGAAAAGUUUCCUACUAUAAUAACUUUAGUUUCAGUUAUGUGUAACAUUAUUAUUUAUAUAAUACUAGCUGCUGCAUAUGUUAAUUAUUUUAUAGAACAUAUACAUAAGUUUAUACGUAAAAAAAUAGAAAGAGUUAAAAAACGAAUAAAAGGAAUUGUAUUUAUAAACAUGUUUUUGUUAAAGAGAAAAGCAAAAAAAGAAACUAAGGAAAAAAAGAAAGAAAAUAAAUAUAUGGUACAUUUAAAUGAAUUAAAAUUAAAAAAUGAAGAAAUGAAAGAACAGUAUGUGUUAAAAAAUGAGAAACAGAGUAUUAAAAUGAUUACUACGAUUUAUAAAAACAGUAGAGAUAUUGUUACUGAUGAGUCAACUGUUUGUGUUAAUGGUAAUAUCAAAAAUAAUGGUGGUAACAACCUAUUUUUGAAU
Long non-coding RNA from Piliocolobus tephrosceles (Ugandan red Colobus), 1560 nucleotides. The record is from Ensembl. Lineage: Eukaryota; Metazoa; Chordata; Mammalia; Primates; Cercopithecidae.